ACCGGAAGAAUGGGACAGUUCCCAUGGUGAACAAGGAAGCGGCUGGAGUGCUCCGUUGCUGAGCAACGAUUGGACCAGCCAUCGUCACGUGACCGGAUAAAGUGCGAUUGUUUCCUGAAAAUUACCGGUGGAUUCGAUGACGGUUCUUUCCGGGUAUUGGCUAACGCGGAGCGUGAUUGAUUGAUGGGAGAAUUGUUGCCAUGGAAACACUGCUCAAGUUGAUGAGAACAGCGGCUUACCCGUGAGCAACGUACAGUUAUUGUGCAAUGAACCCACACUAGAAAUGGCGACAGCAGGAAUCCCUUCUGAACCAAGGUCACUGACUUGGGUGUUAAGCAGUAAUAAAACUGCAAAGUGUUGAUAAAGCCACUGUUUCUUUGCAGAGGAGGAGGAUAAGAAGAGAAUCAGAACAGGUGGAAUCCACACAACGUUUCUCCCAGCAGAGAAGCAACUAUGACAGCAGGGACCCCUUCUAAACCAAACUCUGAAGUCCUGCUACAGUUUGAAGGCAAACAAAAGAGAGGAAAUACCCAAGCUUCUGGAAAGUGUUGCUCUAGCAUCUGGCCAUGCUUAGAUUUUAGCACACACUCAAAAAACAUAAGCCCAACUGGAAGAUCCCAGGAGUAUCUCUGGUACAAGAAAAUCCAGACCGAGGAAAGGAAAAGUGUGGGAAAGCAGUGAUUUGGAAGUGAACAUCAUAUGGUCAACUGAGAAUCAAUGGAGAUGCAGGACUAGCUACGUGAAACAACAAUAUGAAUGAACCCUUAUUCUUUU
Podarcis raffonei (Aeolian wall lizard) is the source of this 774-nucleotide long non-coding RNA. RefSeq lists it as uncharacterized. The transcript is spliced from 5 exons. Lineage: Eukaryota; Metazoa; Chordata; Lepidosauria; Squamata; Lacertidae. The record is from RefSeq and is a predicted model, not a curated record.